GACGAACGCUGGCGGCGUGCCUAAUACAUGCAAGUAGGACGCAGUUGCGAACGGGUGAGUAACGCGUAGGUAACUGCCUAUUAGAGGGGGCUAACUAUUGGAAACGAUAGCUAAUACCGCAUACUAGUAGAUGGAGCUGCGUUGUAUUGGCCAGUAGGUAGGGUAAUGGCCUACCUAGGCGCCGAUACAUAGCCGAGUGGGGGAGGUGGUCGGGCAAACUGGGAAUGAGGCACGGCCCAGGCUCCUAAGGGAGGCAGCAGGUGGGAAUCUUUGGAAAUGGGGGGAACGCCGAACGAGGAACGCCGCGUGAGUGAAGAAGGUUUUCGGGUCGGAAAGCUCUGUUGGUAAGGAAGCGGUACUUAACCAGAAAGGGCCGGCUAACUCCGUGCCAGCCGCCGCGGUAAUAC
RNAcentral lists this ribosomal RNA (407 nucleotides) under uncultured bacterium. Its description in RNAcentral is "partial 16S ribosomal RNA". It matches the Rfam family "Bacterial small subunit ribosomal RNA", at positions 28 to 526 of the family's 1533-position model. The record is from RNAcentral.